RNAcentral lists this long non-coding RNA (9382 nucleotides) under Malus domestica (apple). RNAcentral describes it as "long non-coding RNA (MDOM_LNC011507)". The record is from RNAcentral. Lineage: Eukaryota; Viridiplantae; Streptophyta; Magnoliopsida; Rosales; Rosaceae.
UUUGUCCAAUCUGUCAGAACACCGUCGAAUUCCUCGUAGUCACCACACCUUUGUGAUUCCUGAACCUGGAGGGGCGCAAAACCAAAAUUGAGUGGGUCAGUAAAACAAUUCUUUUUCCAAAUCCAAACAUUUCUCAAAACGUUGUAACCCCUCUCCGUAAAACCUGUAUACUUUCCCAGAAAUGUAAAAUAUAAAUAUACAUAUAUAUUCUCAAGACUUCAAGUCGUUAACUCAACAUUUUCAUAACAAUUAUGCCAUGCCACAUCAUCUCAACAGUAAUAAGGUAUGAAUGCAUCAACAUAAUCAUAUCAGGUGCAAGAAAGUAAUCAACCGUAGGCCCUCUAAUAGCCCUGUACGGUUGAACCUAGAGCUCAAAAUCUAUCAUUAUCACUCUACCGGAGUCACCUCUGUGACCCGUCCGGCCUUCUGCACACAAGUUACGCUCUAGUGCUUCUCAUAAAUCAUCUGUGCACAUAAUCUAAGGUCACCCACCAGUCGGAAUCUCACUAACACUCUCGCGACUGGUCUGUCGUACCCACUCCGCGUGGACUGUACGACUAGCAUCUACUUGGAUCCAAGGCGAGCGUGCGAUGUGGUGAAUACUAUAAGCACUAAACCAUGGUGCAGGAUUUGAGCUCAAUAUAUAUCAUCAUCAUCAUAACAGUAAUUAAAUACUCAUCUGUGCGUCCACCGCACCAUUUCAUACAUAUGCAUCAUAAAUCAAUUCUUACCUGUGCGUCCACCGCACCAAUUCAUACAUAUGCAUCAUAAAUCAAUUCUUACCUGUGCGUCCACCGCACCAAUUCAUACAUAUGCAUCAUAAAUCAAUUCUUACAUGUGCGUCCACCGCACCAAUUCAUACAUAUGCAUCAUAUAUUAAUUCAUGCAUGGCAUUUCAACUCACAUUUCUAUAUACUUUUCAUAUCAAUUCUAUGCAUGGUAUUUCACUUCCCGUUUUUCCACAUAACUCAUAUGCAUUUCAUUUUAAACAUAUUUUCAUUUCAAUUCAAUUUCUGGGAAACGUCAAGUAUAUAUAUAUACGGAAAACAAAACUGCCCACUCACCUGGAGUUCGUCCAACAACUCCCUAGCACCACACAUCAAGGCGUCAUGACGAUCGCCGCCUAGAAUAGUAAUAGUAAUCAAAUCCAGGCUCAGAAUUCAUAUCGAUAGAAUACAUAACUUAUAUAAAAUACGUCACUACGUUGAUCGAUCCGGAAGAUCUGCCACUCAGAUUUUAAAUCCAUAACUUCCAGAGGUCCACAUUAUACCUCUAGGACAACAUCCUAAAAUUUCAUUACCAUCCAACGGUCGGAUCUCCGUCAAUUUCCAAAACUAAGUGACGGUUAACAUUUUAUAUUAUGGACUUACAAUUCCAAUUCCGGAAGAUCCGUAACUCGGAUUCCCAAUCCGUAAGUUCCAAUAAUCCUCAAAUAUUACGUAUUACAACGUAUCAAAUUUUGGUGACGAUCCAACGGUCGGAUCAUCAAUUCACAUUUUCACCUAAAUGUGAAAACUAUAAAACGUUAUUUGAACACCUAACCAACAAUCCUCAAUAACUUUCUCAUACGGUGUUCAAUUUAGGUAUAUGAAUAUACCACAGUGAUCUACUCGACGUCACGGACGUCGACAUAUUUUUAAAAUAAUUUUAUUUUUAUUUUUUAUUUUUACUGUAGCACCUUCUUCUUCCUUGGGUCGCCGGACUGGUUUUUCCGGCGGCCGUUUUCCGGGCAGUUUUUCAAAUUGCCAUAACUUUGUCAUUUCUCAACGAAAUCAAGUGAUUCAAAAACGAAAGUUGUAGCCCUUGAAGAGAAAAAGAGAAUGGUACCUUGCACAACACCUAGUUCGCCGUGGUUUGGCCGGAAACUUCCUCGAAAGCCUCGGAGGUCGCCGGAAACUGGGUAUUUUUCAAAUGAGUAUAACUUCUUCAAUACUCAACGAAAUUGAGUGAAACAAAAAGGAAAGUUGUAGUACUUGACGAGACGAAGAGAUUGAUACCUACCUCGACUCCUAACUCGCCGGGUAUUCGCCGGAAAACGCCUCGAAAGCUCCGGCCAAACUUUGAACUUGUCGAUCUCCGUGUUCUUACGUCCAAAAACUUCCAACGAAGCACUCCGAGCUUCCUUGGGACCUUACUAAACUCGCUGUGAUCUUGUUUUAGCCUAAAACGUAACCAAUUCAAAGCUCAUGAACAGUGUCAUCUCACGGCAACUUUAGAACUAGGGUUUUCGAAGUGAAACUCACCUGAAAUUGGUAUCCCCGUGCUCGUGAAGUCCCCAGGAUCACGAUGGUGGUCUUAAAUGGAACGUUGGUACAAGAUUGUGGUGGUUCUUGGUGGUUGCCGUGAGUUCGAGAGUAAGAGAGAGAAUGAGAGAGUUUCAGAAAAGAAUAAGAGAGAGAGAGAGUCUGGAAUGAAAGAAGAAGAGAGAAGAAAGGUUACGGGUUUUAGGGAGGGAAUUCAGGGUAGGAGGCCCUACCUAAGUCCAAGCACAAAUUAACACAUACAAAUAUAAAUCUAACCCUAGUUUAGGAUCUUAAAGUAAAACAAAUGUCAUACAUUUACACACCUUAAUCCCGUUUAAGGUCACAUUGGUCAUCUCACGUCCUCGGAAUUAAUAAUUCCGGGACGGGCUGUGACAAUCUCCCCUCCUUAUAGAAUUUCGUCCCCGAAAUUCCAAUCACCAACCAGAACAUCAAAACUCAUAAAAUAGUCUCGGAUACAUAACUCUCAUCCGUUCUUCUGUCUCCCAUGUAAUUUUCUACUGAAUGAUUUCCUUCACAAAGCUUUUACUACUUACUCUGUCUUAAUUCUUAGGACCUUCUUUUUCCAAUCCAAAGUCGACAUUAGUUCCUCACCAAUCAGAUCCGGCUUAAUUCUCAAUAGUUGCACCAAAGUCCCAUGUAACGACUCUGCCACUUAGUGACAACGCAUCGAACACAAAAUACAUUAUGUGCCUUAGCCAAUUCUGAAGGCAUCACAAACUUGUAUGCAAGUUUAUUGAUUCCUUUAGUGAAAAAAAAAAAUGGUCUGAUGUGUCUAAAUCUUAUCUUGUCUCUUUUCCAAUUCUCGUCAUUUCUGUUCGCGGUGAAUUUUCCAAAAAUAUCAAACCAUUUACCUUACACACUCGAUUAGUGGCAUAUCCAUCUGUUGAUCUCUUUUUGCCAUUCCUGGUUACUUCAGGUUAACUUAAUCACCUGAAUACUUUGAGGAGACUCAUCCAUAGUCUCAGGGUCUACUAAAACUCUUUCUUGAUCGAAUCUUUCUCUACCCAGAAACAUUCCAUUCACAAGUCAUCAAAAACCGACUCACGUGACACAUUUCAUGGUCCUUAUGGCGUUACUUCGGAAACUGCACAACCAACAUACUUAAGAAACUUAGCAGUUCCGUAAUCCAAUUCUCUUUUCCAUAAAACAAAUUAGUAAUGUUGCACUGUCUGGGAAAGGUUGUUACUCAACACUGGAGUAAAUGUACUAACUUGUUACUUAACAAGUAUAACUUCUUCUCGAUCUUCCAUUCUUAACUUUACUUUAGUUGGUUUCCAAUCCACAAGAAGAUAAUCUUGGCAAACGUGCCAGACAUUAAUCUUACUGUAGUCUUCUCGCCAAGUGCUUGAGCUAGAACAAACUUUACGAUCACCCUGAUCGUACAAUCAUGUUCAUUAAACAAUACAAUUCACUUUCGCUGCCUCAUAUCAAAUUCCUUCCAAGUAAUGGAUAUUGAAGACUUUUUGGAUUCGUAAAAAAAAAUCUUGCAUUCCCACUAAAAUAUAAUGUCUCCAUAACUUCACAGCACGAAUGGUAAUCGUGACUUCCAAAUCACCAGUAGGGUAAUUCAUCUUAUGAGAUUCCAUUUAUCGUGAAACGUAUGCAAUCACCCUAACAUUUGCAUCAACAUGCAUCCAAUACCAUUCAAGAAACAUCACUAAAAAUUUAUGAUUACCAUUAUUCUCUGGGAUUACCAAAAUACGUGCAUGAGUGAGGAAAUACUUCAGUUGUUGAAUCCUUUGCUUACAAUUCCUUCCCACUCAUACCUAACCUCUUUUCUCAACAGUCUCGUCAAUGACAAAGCAAUGACUGAAAAAUCUUUCACAACCAUCCAAGAUAGCCUGGUAAGCUAAGAAAUUCCAAAUCUCAAUUACGACUCGUGGUUGUUCCAAAUUUUAAUUUCUGUUACCUUUUAAGGAUUCACUUGAAUACCUUAAGAAUAUAUAACAUAUCCCAGAAAUGCUGCUUGAUUCAUCCAACAUUCGCAUUUGCUAAACUUAGCAUACAACCAACGUUCUCUUAAUCUUUGCUUCACCGACUUAAUACGUUUACAUGCUCUGCUCUAGGCUUAGAGUAUACCAGAAUAUCUUCAAUGAAAAUGAUAUCUAUUUAUCAAGGCAUUAUUGGAAUACUUCAUCCAAUAACUCAUAAAACAGCAUGAGUAUCCAUAUAGCAUCACCAAACUUCAUAAAGACUAUAACGAGUCCAGAAAACCAUCUUAUGAUCAAUGUCACUUAUAAUAUUCAAUUGGUAGUAACCAGAUCUCAAUUCAAUCUUUGAAUCUUCGCAAUUACUUCUGAGCUGGUUAAAUAAACAUCAGUACAUCACCAUGGAUAACGGUUCUCAAUCGUUACCCGACUCCAUUGUCUAUAAUCAAUGAACAGUCUCAAGAUCCAUUUUCUUCCUCACCAACAAACUGGGGCUCCUCAAAAGUGUUGUACUAGGUUGAAUAAAACUUUUAUCAACCAAUUCCCUCAACUGAAUUUCCAAUUCCCUUAACUCAUCAUGAACCAAUCUCCAAUAUAAAUUUAUACCUGGCAACAAAUCAAUAGUGAACCUCAUAUCUCUGCCUGAAGGCAAUCCAGGUAUACUUUCAGGGAAGACAUCAAGAAAAGUCUAACUCUUUCGACAUUAUUCACACUACUCCAAACAACAUCAUUUAGCACCACAUGAGCUAAGUAUUUUUGACAGCCUUUCGAAAACAAUCUCUUUGCUCUCACAACAUAAAUAAUGGCUGAACUCAAUCCAUUUUGCAUACUUACAAAAGUAAUCUCUGUUCAUCCAGAUCGAUGGAAAGUACUGGUUUCCCAUAACAUUUCGUCUUGUCACAAUUAUAACCAACCAAUCUAAUGGAAAUAAUUUAACCGACACAAUACAUACUCUAUUACUACUAAGCAUUCUGAAUAAGUACAAAAUAAUCUACCGGUUUACUUACUUAACGAAUCCACGAAUGAGUUAUUAAUAUUACGGUCUGCAGCCCGCAAUACUGAUAAAUCAUCGUUGUCUCGAUAAGUAGGCAACCACUCUCAAAGAUAUAACAUUACUAUUUUGUCACUCAAUGCAAAAUACAUACACUCAUCUCAACUACAUUUAUUUACUACUCUCAAGGUAAUAACAUACAUAAUAAGAAAUAUAUCAGCCGAAGUCAACUAGAAUGAUCAAUACGACUGAUUCAACUCUUAUCUCAAUAAUACGUCGGCCGGAUCCACUCCGCGUGGUCGGUACGGCCGAGCCUAUAACUCACAAAUUUCGCAUGUGUCAAUCGAAUCCACUUCUCGUGGCCUGUACGGCUGAACAUAUAACUCAUCAAAUUUCUCUGUACUCACAGUCAAUCCGACCAAACUACUAAGUUUAUAACUCUUCUGAAUCGACACUAUGAUAUCAUGGAAAAUUAUUGAGUACAACUGAUUCUAGGGACGAUUCACAAUUCUGUGUCCCCUCUGUUCACAUAAACACAUUCAUUAAUUUCACACUUCCCAAAGUGUUAAUUUUUGUACCUGCAGCACAAGGUACAUUUCCUUUACUCGAGACACCUUGUCUCAAAUAUCUGGGAUUACCAGUAUAUCCAUCACUUUUAUUCUGACCAGCGACAUUAAAACCUCAGCUGGAAAAAUUAACUCUAGCUUCACUUCUUUCGAAGCUCUGAAUCUUUCUAUAUCCUUGAUAUGACGAAUCAUUAACUUUAUCGUCUUCUUUUAAUUCCUAUUCUUUUCUUAUUCUUCUUUAUUCUCGUUGCUCAUGUUCUCAGAGUCCUCAAGAUUCAACAACAUCUAGCAUACUCCUGAUAAGAACUACAAUGGAUAGUGGUCACCCAAAAUACCACUUCCCUUUUGUCACCCAGCUUAAAACAACAUAACACCUCCACCAAAUUAACAACAAUAUCUGGAUGGAACGAGGCUAGUCUGAAAACUUUCUAUAAUAUCCCUCGAUCAUCACCUUCCUUGUCUCAUAUUUGUAAAUUCUUGUUUACUACCAUCGAUAAAUGCCGGAGGGAUAAACUUUUCCUUUAAACAAGUCCUUAAACAAUUCUCAAUCGACUGAUUCCUCUGGUGACAACAAUUCAUACUCCUGUUUCCACCAGGAUACAAAUUCAUAACCAAAACCAGGUAGUCGUCUCGACCCCCUGUCAGAAGGAAAUUUCCUUUGACUUGCAUAAUCUGAAACAUCUUUUCCAAAUGGUUAAACCGUUACUUCGCUCUCUCAGGUUCAUCAUUUCAUAAGGUGAUUCAAGUUCAACUCAUUACCCAUCUUAAAAUGUCCCUUUAGACAAUAGACUGAAUCACCAUAGUAAUAGUUUCCCCCUAAACCGCUAAAUCAGGGAGACUAAGUUCCUCUAACUACGUGGCUUGCUACGAGGCGGUGUAGUUCUGACAGAAUUCACUAGAACUUCUCAAGAUGUCCAAGAUUGCAACCAUGCUCUGAUACCAACUGACACACCCCGUCCCGAAGGAGGGCAUGCUGGCCGUCACGUGAGAGUGACGUAACCAUUUGCACAGUACGGAAGCUUUAAGAUACAAUUUAUAAGUUGAUACACCCGAAGGUGAGUCCUAAUUUUGUCCAAUCUGUCAGAACACCGUCGAAUUCCUCGUAGUCACCACACCUUUGUGAUUCCUGAACCUGGAGGGGCGCAAAACCAAAAUUGAGUGGGUCAGUAAAACAAUUCUUUUUCCAAAUCCAAACAUUUCUCAAAACGUUGUAACCCCUCUCCGUAAAACCUGUAUACUUUCCCAGAAAUGUAAAAUAUAAAUAUACAUAUAUAUUCUCAAGACUUCAAGUCGUUAACUCAACAUUUUCAUAACAAUUAUGCCAUGCCACACAUCAUCUCAACAGUAAUAAGGUAUGAAUGCAUCAACAUAAUCAUAUCAGGUGCAAGAAAGUAAUCAACCGUAGGCCCUCUAAUAGCCCUGUACGGUUGAACCUAGAGCUCAAAAUCUAUCAUUAUCACUCUACCGGAGUCACCUCUGUGACCCGUCCGGCCUUCUGCACACAAGUUACGCUCUAGUGCUUCUCAUAAAUCAUCUGUGCACAUAAUCUAAGGUCACCCACCAGUCGGAAUCUCACUAACACUCUCGCGACUGGUCUGUCGUACCCACUCCGCGUGGACUGUACGACUAGCAUCUACUUGGAUCCAAGGCGAGCGUGCGAUGCGGUGAAUACUAUAAGCACUAAACCAUGGUGCAGGAUUUGAGCUCAAUAUAUAUCAUCAUCAUCAUAACAGUAAUUAAAUACUCAUCUGUGCGUCCACCGCACCAUUUCAUACAUAUGCAUCAUAAAUCAAUUCUUACCUGUGCGUCCACCGCACCAAUUCAUACAUAUGCAUCAUAAAUCAAUUCUUACCUGUGCGUCCACCGCACCAAUUCAUACAUAUGCAUCAUAAAUCAAUUCUUACAUGUGCGUCCACCGCACCAAUUCAUACAUAUGCAUCAUAUAUUAAUUCAUGCAUGGCAUUUCAACUCACAUUUCUAUAUACUUUUCAUAUCAAUUCUAUGCAUGGUAUUUCACUUCCCGUUUUUCCACAUAACUCAUAUGCAUUUCAUUUUAAACAUAUUUUCAUUUCAAUUCAAUUUCUGGGAAACGUCAAGUAUAUAUAUAUACGGAAAACAAAACUGCCCACUCACCUGGAGUUCGUCCAACAACUCCCUAGCACCACACAUCAAGGCGUCAUGACGAUCGCCGCCUAGAAUAGUAAUCAAAUCCAGGCUCAGAAUUCAUAUCGAUAGAAUACAUAACUUAUAUAAAAUACGUCACUACGUUGAUCGAUCCGGAAGAUCUGCCACUCAGAUUUUUAAAUCCAUAACUUCCAGAGGUCCACAUUAUACCUCUAGGACAACAUCCUAAAAUUUCAUUACCAUCCAACGGUCGGAUCUCCGUCAAUUUCCAAAACUAAGUGACGGUUAACAUUUUAUAUUAUGGACUUACAAUUCCAAUUCCGGAAGAUCCGUAACUCGGAUUCCCAAUCCGUAAGUUCCAAUAAUCCUCAAAUAUUACGUAUUACAACGUAUCAAAUUUUGGUGACGAUCCAACGGUCGGAUCAUCAAUUCACAUUUUCACCUAAAUGUGAAAACUAUAAAACGUUAUUUGAACACCUAACCAACAAUCCUCAAUAACUUUCUCAUACGGUGUUCAAUUUAGGUAUAUGAAUAUACCACAGUGAUCUACUCGACGUCACGGACGUCGACAUAUUUUUAAAAAUAAUUUUAUUUUUAUUUUUUAUUUUUACUGUAGCACCUUCUUCUUCCUUGGGUCGCCGGACUGGUUUUUCCGGCGGCCGUUUUCCGGGCAGUUUUUUCAAAUUGCCAUAACUUUGUCAUUUCUCAACGAAAUCAAGUGAUUCAAAAACGAAAGUUGUAGCCCUUGAAGAGAAAAAGAGAAUGGUACCUUGCACAACACCUAGUUCGCCGUGGUUUGGCCGGAAACUUCCUCGAAAGCCUCGGAGGUCGCCGGAAACUGGGUAUUUUUCAAAUGAGUAUAACUUCUUCAAUACUCAACGAAAUUGAGUGAAACAAAAAGGAAAGUUGUAGUACUUGACGAGACGAAGAGAUUGAUACCUACCUCGACUCCUAACUCGCCGGGUAUUCGCCGGAAAACGCCUCGAAAGCUCCGGCCAAACUUUGAACUUGUCGAUCUCCGUGUUCUUACGUCCAAAAACUUCCAACGAAGCACUCCGAGCUUCCUUGGGACCUUACUAAACUCGCUGUGAUCUUGUUUUAGCCUAAAACGUAACCAAUUCAAAGCUCAUGAACAGUGUCAUCUCACGGCAACUUUAGAACUAGGGUUUUCGAAGUGAAACUCACCUGAAAUUGGUAUCCCCGUGCUCGUGAAGUCCCCAGGAUCACGAUGGUGGUCUUAAAUGGAACGUUGGUACAAGAUUGUGGUGGUUCUUGGUGGUUGCCGUGAGUUCGAGAGUAAGAGAGAGAAUGAGAGAGUUUUCAGAAAAGAAUAAGAGAGAGAGAGAGUCUGGAAUGAAAGAAGAAGAGAGAAGAAAGGUUACGGGUUUUAGGGAGGGAAUUCAGGGUAGGAGGCCCUACCUAAGUCCAAGCACAAAUUAACACAUACAAAUAUAAAUCUAACCCUAGUUUAGGAUCUUAAAGUAAAACAAAUGUCAUACAUUUACACAC